CGCAGCCGCAGCCCUAGGAGACGCCGUCGCAGCCGAUCUAGAAGCAGGAGCCGCUCUAGAUCCCGCAGUCGGUCCCGUUACAGUCGAUCCAAAUCCCGGUCUCGCACACGCUCUCGGUCUCGCUCCACCUCCAAGUCCAGGUCUGCCAGGAGAUCCAAGUCAAAGUCCUCAUCUGUCUCCAGAUCUCGGUCCAGGUCAAGAUCCCGGUCCAGAUCUAGAAGCCCUCCCCCUGCCUCAAAGAGGGAAUCCAACUCUAGAUCAAGGUCUAAGAGCCCUCCCAAGUCUCCAGAAGAAGAAGGAGCUGUAUCCUCCUAGGAACAUGAUGCAUCACAUAAAUGAGAAUCUCCAUAAAGGACGCCUUUGGGGGGAAAAGAUCGCUUGAGUCUUCAGUCCAUUGGAGAGACCCCUGGCAGAGCAACCAGCUGUUGAAAAGGUUAUUUUGUACCAUUUUGUCUAACUUUUUACUUGUUUAAGUUGCGCCUCAAGUGGCAGAUUUUACAGUUUAUGUGCCAUUUUGUUGCUGUUAUUCAAAUUUCUUGUAAUUUAGUGAAGUGAACGACUACCGAUUUCAUUAUUGGCUUGGAUAUUUGAGGUAAAACUUCAUUUUUGUUUAUAUAGUGCUGACUUUUAUUUGAAAUUAAAACCAAUGGUAACUUGCUGCCUCCAGUUUCAUACUGAGGAAACACGCAGACAUUAUAUGCUGAGUAGCUAACUGUCAAAAAUUAAUCUCAAAUUUGUCUUUAUUCUUUAAACAAAAUUUUGCAGACCUUCAGUUUGAAACAUACUGUAAAUGCUUUUUUUAUUUUUUUUUUUUUUUACUUUAAAUUCAAAUAGUACCUUCAAAUUCAAAUUGGUAGAAAUCUUUUCAGGUGACAGUUGAUAUUUGAAAGGAUUGUUUUAUCAGACUCAAUUCUAAUCUCUUCUCUUAUGUAUUUUUGUGCACUAGGCGCAGUUGUGUAGCAGUUGAGUAAUGCUGGUUAGCUGUUAAGGUGGCGUGUUGCAGUGCAGAGUGCUUGGCUGUUUCCUGUUUUCUCCUGAUUGCUCCUGUGUAACGAUGCCUUGUCGUGCAGAAACAAAUGGCUGUCCAGUUAAUUAAAAUGCCUGACAACUGCACUUCCAGUCACCCGGGCCUUGCGUAAAAAUAAUGGAGCAUACAGUGAGCACAUCUAGCUGAUGAUAUACACACCUUAUUUUUUCCAGAAUGGUAAAACUUACCAACCUACAUAUAUGAACUUACAUAUGAGAAAUGUAAUGUUUAAGAACAGAAAUGGUUCAUUCCUUUGUAAGUACUGAUUGGUGUAUCUUUUGCUUAAGACAUGCUGUACUAUACCCACUGUCUCUGUAGUUAAUAUUAAACAUUUUUCUGUGUUAACUUUUCUCAACUUAAUGUCUGAGUCAGCUUAUUUUUAGCUUGAAAAGAUUUCUGCAAUUACACUGUCAAUGUUUAACUUCUGUAUAGUAACUGAAUGCGUUCUACUGCUUAUAAUUUUUAUCCACUGGGGUUGCUUUUAAAUUACUAUGGGCAAACUUGUAUUGUGACUAACCCAAAUGUUACACGGUGAGUCUUGCACACCAGCCUAUAAACACAGAAUCAGACAGGUCUGUUGGACAUUGUUAAUCGAGAUACACACUGAGGAGUACUAAUUGCAUUUGCUGUCUGCUUGCCCUGACUCAACAGGCUGUUGCUUGAUGGUAGCUAAUCUUAGUGAUGAUUUUUUUUUUUCCUUGAUUUGGAUACCAAAUGGAUUGUAACUUCAACCAUUGUGUGUCAAGGGUUAUUGUAAUGCCUUUGUUAAUUUUAUGCAUGUAUGUUAAAUGGGAAUGGAAACAUCUGAUACUUGCAGUCUGGCUUGAUUGAGGAUUAAAAGUACUUUUCUACAAACUUGAGGAGUUUGUAUGUUCUGGGACUGCAUGGCUAGCAGCAGUCUACUCAGAUUCGUUUAAAAACAAAAGGAACUGGCUUUUGUAUGUGAAUCUUUGGGAAAGAGCUUCAGUCUUGGGAAACAUAUUUUUUUAUCUUGAAAGAGUGCAGUUCACUUUUCUUCCCUAGCUGAAGUUGUGAAUUUAAGCCGGAUCUUGUGGAUUGUCAGGUUGUUAAGCUAUGUUGUGUAGUGGCUUACCUAAUGGAAUUGAGUCUUUGAACUAUUGCGUGGUCUUUGGGGAGGAGCACAAAUUUCUCAAAAGCCAUAGCUAAACAAUUGAACAGCUUUAUUUUUAACAAUGCAUGUUUAAAAAAAAAAAUACUGCUAAAAGGGGAUCUGCUUUCCAAAAAUAUGCCUGAAGUUGGCUGUAAACAGGACUGUUUCCUGCAGAUCCAUGUUACAGUGAACAGUUAAAUAUCAUCUUGUAUUGGAACCAACAAGUGGAAUAAACUUAAGUACCAUCUGA
Antrostomus carolinensis (chuck-will's-widow) is the source of this 2388-nucleotide long non-coding RNA. RefSeq lists it as uncharacterized. The transcript is spliced from 3 exons. The record is from RefSeq and is a predicted model, not a curated record. Lineage: Eukaryota; Metazoa; Chordata; Aves; Caprimulgiformes; Caprimulgidae.